ACCUUAGUGGUGUAGUGGUCAACACGCUGGGCGCGUAUUCCAGAGGUCCGGGGUUCGAGUCCCGGCGAAGGCG
This 73-nucleotide transfer RNA is filed under the name Stegodyphus mimosarum. It matches the Rfam family "tRNA". From Rfam's summary of the family: Transfer RNA (tRNA) molecules are approximately 80 nucleotides in length. Their secondary structure includes four short double-helical elements and three loops (D, anti-codon, and T loops). Further hydrogen bonds mediate the characteristic L-shaped molecular structure. tRNAs have two regions of fundamental functional importance: the anti-codon, which is responsible for specific mRNA codon recognition, and the 3' end, to which the tRNAs corresponding amino acid is attached (by aminoacyl-tRNA synthetases). tRNAs cope with the degeneracy of the genetic code in two manners: having more than one tRNA (with a specific anti-codon) for a particular amino acid; and 'wobble' base-pairing, i.e. permitting non-standard base-pairing at the 3rd anti-codon position. The record is from Rfam by way of RNAcentral. Lineage: Eukaryota; Metazoa; Arthropoda; Arachnida; Araneae; Eresidae.